This 4417-nucleotide long non-coding RNA is filed under the name Daphnia pulex (common water flea). RNAcentral describes it as "uncharacterized LOC124197214, transcript variant X4". The record is from RNAcentral. Lineage: Eukaryota; Metazoa; Arthropoda; Branchiopoda; Diplostraca; Daphniidae.
GGAAACGAAUGAAAUUCGCCUGCUAAGCUCAAUAGAUGGCUUUGGAGAUGAAUGAAAUUCGCCUGCCAAGCGCAAUAGAUGGAUUUUGAGUUUUCUUAAGGUACAUAGAACUAAUUCGGGAAAGAAUUUUAAGGAUUAUUAAUUACGGAUAAAAAUGUUCUGUUAACGUUUUCAUGCCAUAGCAUUCCAUUUGUCGUAAUUAUUAAAUUAUUUAAAAAAUGAAAAAGAAAUAAACGGCAGCCACAAUUUCAACUUGGUAAAAUAAAAACAAAGCAGACGACUUAAUCUCAUACCUUCUUCUUCUUUGACAAAAUGACAACUUUUUUGAAAAAUCAAAAUGACUCUAGAAGUUGAGUGCACCGAAAAAGAAAUCGAUGUCAUUGGACUUGGGUGCUCAAAAGAAUCAUUUACUGAGCACUCGGAGGUUGAAAAACUCAUUGACGAACUGAGGACGUCAGCCCAACAUCAGACAAACCAAACGGAUAUUCGUUUAGUGGAGAGAAACUGGCAAAGGUUUUCGUUCAUUCUAGAUCAAUACCAAGAGCAACCACAUUUGAUCGAUUCACACCUCGAUGGACUACUCACUAAAAUCAUCAACAUCAUUCGAGAGGAAGGGCUGGAUUAUGAGGUGAAACAUGUGGCCUUCCGAUGCCUCUACUUUAUAUCGAAAGUCAGAGGCUACAAAGUUGUAGCAAGACAUCUUCCUCAUGAGACUGCCGGUCUGGAGCCUUUGCUACAUUACUUGGAAAACCAAGACCCUGGUGUGCAACUAAAAUGGGAGACUCAUUACGGCUUGCUUCUCUGGCUCAGCAUUGUAGUUAAAAUCCCAUUCCACCUUCAGCGAUUUGACACCAGCACUUCAGAGCCAAUCAUGGAAGAAUUCUGAAUGUCUGUAAGAAAUACCUGGCUGGGACAACAAAAGCUCAGGACAUGGCCUUUUAUGUAUCGGCAAUCUAUCUUACAAGGCCUUAUGUCAAAGAUUCCUAUCUACCGGGAUUCAUCAAUGGGGCUCAUGAGGCUCUUACCAAAGAUAGUGCUCAGUUCAAAAAAGGAGUUCUUUCAACGUUGGCCGGCGUAUUCAAACAUGGGCAAAGAGAACAAAUGAUGGAGCACAUGCUGUGCUGCGUACCAUCCUGACGAUUAAAUUCCAACCGUCAGAAUUGCUUAUACAGUUAAGAAACCGUUGGUGAAGCUGACGCAGCGAAUAGGUUUGAUAUUCUUGAAACCUCGAGUUGCCUCUUGGAGAUACCAGCGGGGCAGCAGAUCAUUAGCUGCCAAUCUGCAACAGAGCCAACCCGUUGAGACUAAAGCAGCUAUUUCGGUGAAUGAUGAAGAUGACCACGAUUACGACGUGCCGGAAGAAAUCAAAGAAGUACUUGACGAGAUCCUGCAAGCCCUCCGAGACAAGAACCGUGAAGUCCAGUACUCUGCAGCAAAAGGCAUUGGGCGGCUGACCAGUCGCUUAUCAAAGAACUUUGCCGACCAGUCGGAUAUGGCCUGGCACGGAGGAUGUUUGGCUUCAAGUGGCAAAAGACCAUCAACGUCGUCUGCCAGAUGAACUUGGUCAGUUACCGCUUUGGUUUCAAAAUUUAGGAUGAGAAACUUCUUCGGGGACUUGAAGUUGAAAUAGUUGGGAUACCUGCAAUUUCGUGCAGUUUCCGAAUUUCGUCUUGGAGCACGGGGAUAACUAUAUAUGUAUGGAUGGUGGAUAUUAGUAUGAGAAACACUAUCAGUUCAACAGGUUCACGAAACUUAAAACUUACCUUCCAAUUGGGCACGCAGUUGCCGAUUUUCCUCUAGAACCUCGUCGAUGGUUGGCUGUGUUUCGGGGGGGUUAGGACCUUGCAAUUGUUUGAUGGGGGGAAACAGCUUUUUCUUUAGGCAAACAUGCCGACUUAAAUUGAAUCCAGUCGCAACCAAGUAUAUCUUGCAAUACAAACACUUGGCCCUCUGGAAAAACAUGAUUGAAUUUAAAUUACUUCGUUUUAUAUACUAAAUAUGUAUAUUUUUUUAAUUACCACGUUCCCAUCAACAAUCUCUGGAACUUCAAAAUCCGAACUGAAAUGUUUGGCGUGCUUGGUUCGAGCUUUUUCGAGGUUUUUAAUCAUCUCUUCACGACUUAUUUUCUUGGGUACUUUUGGCAUUUUGGGAACAGUGUACAGUACACCCACUAGACUAAAAAGCAGAAAAGCUACUGCUUACACUUUGUUUUGUUACAAGGCAAGCAUAGAGAUAACAGAGUCGUAUAGAGCUACGUCUAGCUAUGUCCAGAAUAUCAGCGGAAUCGAAGCGGUGAUUGCAUAAAUUAAAAUUUUAUAUUUGGCGCUUCUAGUUGUGUUACGGAUUCCUCCGUCAAUACGGGUGGCGCUACCAUUCAGUUUUCCAUAAAGUAUCAUUCACAUUCUCAUAUUUCCCGAUAGGGAUUUAUCGGCAAACGACCCUGUCCUCCCACCGUCGUGAUCCCGCUUUGAUUGACAUAAUGGGGUCGGUGUGAUUUAAAUGUAAAAAAUAAUCGCUUAUUUUUAGUUAGUUUUUCUCCCGACAGGUGGUUCUGACGCCAAUCCAUAAUUCAAGGCCGACGAACUUCAACGCGGCCUUGGAUUGGAUUCAAAAACAAAACAAAAACAAAACAAGGCUGGCUGCUAAUCAAUCAACUGAACCAAGGCAAGUUUAAAGCAAAAUGUAGUCAAAUUUUAAAUAAUGCAGGUAGUAUAAUCCUUUGAUUGUAAAUUAUUUUCCCUACUACGUAAAGCUGGUACAAUAGCCGUACGGUUUUUUAUAUACCGAAAAGCAUUCAUUGAUCAUGGAGUCCAGGAUGAUUUACGAUGUGAUGGUAGAACAAUGCUGGAUUACCACCCUAUAAUUCUUGAAACUACAUUAGUUUCCAAUGCCAGUGGAUCGGCAAGGCUGAGACUUGCAAAUUCAUCAACAUCUGGAAAAUGAAAUUUGCAAAUUCCUACAAAGAUCCUAUGCUUCAGCUGAUGUGAUAUUUCCACCAGUCCUGAUGUAUCAACACUGGUGCAGAGUCUACGACAAGCCUUGGCCCUUGAAGCUAAAUUCCAACCAAAGCUUCAACUUCUGUCAACACUCAACAUCCAGCAAUACAGGAGAAAGCGGUGAAAUUAUGUGUGCAAUGAGGGAUGGAGCUGCCCAUGUUCUUCGCUGCAUGAAAGUCUGGUAUGAUCUUCCUUAUGCAGUUCUUCUGGAUGCUCUCAACAUGAUGGACUGGUUCAUGAGCCGCAUGAAAGCACUCCUAAACACCUCUCAUGCAUAGCAAUCAGCUCCUUCCAUCUAGCAGCUUGCCAAUGGGUGGAGAGGAUUAAACAGAACAUCAUUGAGGUAUCUUCCAUUCAGAGUCCAUUGUAGAUUGUUCCUGAAACUCAAUAUCUGGUAACGAUAUCUUAAUGUAAAUGUACCGCCGGAGACAUCAACCGGAUGGAAAAAAUUGUCGAAGCCAAGUUAUCUUAUCUACCCCAAGAAGAACCGGUCACGACCUUAACAUUCCUCAACCUGUAUCACUCACUUCUCUCGACGACUUUACCUGCCGCUCUUCAGCAAGACCUUCUUAUUCUUUCAUGCAAGCAGGAGACCAUUUGCUGUGACGCAAAAUAAUGCUGCCUUUCCCUCAUCUCUUUUGGCUUUCGUCCUACUGUUUGUCGAAAUGAAGUGUCACCAGCCGGCCAUCGAGGUUAUUAUCAGAAACGUUUUACUAGAACUUCAGCGACUUGUUCAGGUCAAAAAUGACUAGUUGAAGGAGUGUAUAAGAAUGGUCACUUCGGCAAUGGCACCUUACGAUGGCUAUGUCCAAAGCAAUCCGUCUCAUCGUCAGCAACGACUUACCUGGAAGUUGUCCUUUUUCUACUAUUUAUUUGCCUUCUAAACCAUUUAUAAUAAGUUUUGCCUUUAGUAAAGCAAAAUGCCUAGCUUUUUCUAGUCCUAUACCACUUACUUGUUGAGCCUGUGUAAAUUCGGGUCUCAGUGAUACAUGAUUACCACUCUUAACAAGAAAACUAUAUAUUUCUUUACUCACUACAUCAGAAGUUUCUCCAAGUGUGCAGUCGAAAAUUUUAGUCAAAAUUCCCUUCAUAGAUAAGAGAAAUAGAGCCGUAAUUUCAUCCUAUAAACGUUCAAUUAAUCUAUCAAAAAUCUUAUCUUGUUUAGGGUGGUUAUUAACCUUAUAUGUUAUUUAUAUAAAUUUAAAUACUAUAAAUAAUGGUUCGAAAUUAACUGAAAAAAAGACUUCUGUAAUUUUACGUAAUUUCGAUGUUACGUCAUGACGUCAUACGUCGACUAUGACUUGAUAACCACCCGAAUCAGUAAGUAUCGGCUUUGACCUAUUCAUGAACUUAUGUAGCCCACAAUUAUAAAAACAAAAUCACCUGUCCUAUUUACAAUAAAUGCUUGAAUUGCCGCUUUA